UCAAGCAAACCAUGAGGGAUCCUUACUGACCUGUCAGCUAGGAUGAGGGAUAUAUUGCAAGAUUUGUAUUGAGUAAACCCCAAUCUUCUGGCGACAGAGAGCGGCAUGAGACUGACUGAUGCUCCUAAAUCACAUAGGAAUCUGUUGAAAGCCAAUGGACCUAAAAAGCAUGGUAGACUGAAUGAACCAGGAUCACUAAGCUUCUUAGGAAUGAUCUUCUUCUGUAUGAUAGCACUGCAUUUAUGACUCAAUACCACCAUCCCUUGCACUUCUUGAAUUCUCUCCACGAUCAAGUCUUUCAGAAACCUGUGAGAGUCUGGUAUUAGCGCUGGAGCGUCAACAAGAGGUAUCUGCAACUCAACUUCCUUGAUGUUCUUGGCGAACAUAGCUCUAUACUUAUCUGCUAAUGCUUUCUUGUGAUGGCCAGGAAAUGGAAGUUGUGGUUUGUAUUGAGGAGGAACAAAGACCUUUUCUUUGUUCUUGACAACAACUGGUUUUGGAGCGGAUGGUGAUGCUGCUGGGAAGAUAGGUCGUGAAGCAAAGUCGAGUG
This 550-nucleotide small RNA is filed under the name Arabidopsis thaliana (thale cress). RNAcentral's name for it is "ATSL090880". Lineage: Eukaryota; Viridiplantae; Streptophyta; Magnoliopsida; Brassicales; Brassicaceae. The record is from RNAcentral.